CUACGGGUCGCAGCAGUGGGGAAUAUUGCACAAUGGGCGCAAGCCUGAUGCAGCCAUGCCGCGUGUAUGAAGAAGGCCUUCGGGUUGUAAAGUACUUUCAGCGGGGAGGAAGGGAGUAAAGUUAAUACCUUUGCUCAUUGACGUUACCCGCAGAAGAAGCACCGGCUAACUCCGUGCCAGCAGCCGCGGUAAUACGGAGGGUGCAAGCGUUAAUCGGAAUUACUGGGCGUAAAGCGCACGCAGGCGGUUUGUUAAGUCAGAUGUGAAAUCCCCGGGCUCAACCUGGGAACUGCAUCUGAUACUGGCAAGCUUGGGUCUCGUAGAGGGGGGGAGAAUUCCAGGUGUAGCGGUGAAAUGCGUAGAGAUCUGGAGGAAUACCGGUGGCGAAGGCGGCCCCCUGGACGAAGACUGACGCUCAGGUGCGAAAGCGUGGGGAGCAAACAGGAUUAGAUACCCUUUAGUC
Molecule: ribosomal RNA, 463 nt
Filed under: uncultured bacterium
Lineage: Bacteria
Description: partial 16S ribosomal RNA
Rfam family: Bacterial small subunit ribosomal RNA
Source: RNAcentral